UAAGAUAAAAUCAAAGGAACUUGUUUUUUAAUCGAUAAUACUCGCUAAAUCUCACUUUUUAUAAAAGCUUAUAUACCGCCGUUUAAACAUUUUUAAAAUAAUUUUUUAUACCUCUAUUUAAAACUUCAGGUCAAGGUGUAGCCCAUAAAAAAGCUAAAAUAAGUUACUAUAAAAGCUAUUUAUAGAAAUAAAAGAAACUCAAAUAAAACCGGAUUUAAAAACAAUAAUCUAA
Molecule: ribosomal RNA, 232 nt
Filed under: Harpactocrates apennicola
Lineage: Eukaryota; Metazoa; Arthropoda; Arachnida; Araneae; Dysderidae
Description: partial 12S ribosomal RNA
Source: RNAcentral